UACGAAGGGGGCUAGCGUUGUUCGGAAUUACUGGGCGUAAAGCGCGUGUAGGCGGGUCUUUAAGUCAGGGGUGAAAUGCCAGGGCUCAACCUUGGAACUGCCUUUGAUACUGGAGACCUUGAGUCCGGGAGAGGUGAGUGGAACUGCGAGUGUAGAGGUGAAAUUCGUAGAAUAUUCGCAAGAACACCAGUGGCGAAGGCGGCUCACUGGACCCGAUACUGCGCUGAGGUGACGAAGCGUGGGGAGCAA
This 249-nucleotide ribosomal RNA is filed under the name uncultured bacterium. Its description in RNAcentral is "partial 16S ribosomal RNA". It matches the Rfam family "Bacterial small subunit ribosomal RNA", at positions 524 to 771 of the family's 1533-position model. The record is from RNAcentral.